Molecule: ribosomal RNA, 372 nt
Filed under: uncultured organism
Description: bacterial SSU rRNA
Rfam family: Bacterial small subunit ribosomal RNA
Source: RNAcentral
CAGAGGGUGCGAGCGUUGUCCGGAAUCACUGGGCGUAAAGGGCGCGUAGGUGGCGGCCCAAGUCCGUGGUGAAAGCUCGUCGCUUAACGACGAGUCGGCCACGGAGACUGGGUGGCUUGAGCACUGUAGGGGCAGAUGGAAUUCCGGGUGUAGCGGUGGAAUGCGUAGAGAUCCGGAAGAACACCGGUGGCGAAGGCGGUCUGCUGGGCAGUUGCUGACACUGAGGCGCGACAGCGUGGGGAGCAAACAGGAUUAGAUACCCUGGUAGUCCACGCCGUAAACGAUGGGCACUAGAUGCUUGGGGGAGCGACCCCCUGAGUGUCGUCGCUAACGCAGUAAGUGCCCCGCCUGGGGAGUACGGCCGCAAGGCUG